This 85-nucleotide transfer RNA is filed under the name Lentisphaerota bacterium. Its description in RNAcentral is "Lentisphaerae bacterium tRNA-Leu". It matches the Rfam family "tRNA". From Rfam's summary of the family: Transfer RNA (tRNA) molecules are approximately 80 nucleotides in length. The record is from RNAcentral. Lineage: Bacteria; Pseudomonadati; Lentisphaerota. RNAcentral also lists the same sequence under 1 other name.
GUCCGGAUGGCGGAAUCGGCAGACGCAGCAGACUUAAAAUCUGCUUCCUUCGGGAGUACGGGUUCAAGUCCCGUUCCGGAUACCA